AACUAUUGGAGUGACGAUUAUUUGUGUUGCCAUUGUUGAGUUCCAUUACAGUAUCCCUAAACAGUCUUAUAAUAUUACAUCAACAAAGCAGGAACAAUGUAUUCAAAACUGCAAAAGCUUUUAUCGUGACCCAGCAAAUUUGUCAUUUUGCAUUGAAAGAUGUAGAGCCUGGUUCCCACGCGAAUAAGUAUCUAAGGCUAUCUUUGGCGUGGACGUGUCUUGUAAUAUUGCAUCUUUGGGAAAUUCUAAUACGUCGCUGGCCUCACUUGUUUAUGUUGUUGUUAGUGUUGUUCUUUAGCCUAUUGUUACUUAUAUGACUUUGUAUCCGUGUCUUCUCACUUCCUAUUUGUGAAUCUUUUUAAGUUUAUAUUAUUUUAUAUGAACCUUAUUUGGGAUAAUUAAUUCUCUAUUAUUUUAUGAAAGCCGAAAAAAUCACCGGGUUUUAAGCAAGCACAAUCACAAUGAAAAUAACAAUAUAUAUAGAUAAUUUUUUUCGUUCAGAUCGAUUGUCUCUUAGGGUACCUGAACAUAAAU
This 534-nucleotide long non-coding RNA is filed under the name Arachis ipaensis. RNAcentral describes it as "long non-coding RNA (AIPA_LNC001563)". Lineage: Eukaryota; Viridiplantae; Streptophyta; Magnoliopsida; Fabales; Fabaceae. The record is from RNAcentral.